This 253-nucleotide ribosomal RNA is filed under the name uncultured bacterium. Its description in RNAcentral is "partial 16S ribosomal RNA". It matches the Rfam family "Bacterial small subunit ribosomal RNA", at positions 524 to 776 of the family's 1533-position model. The record is from RNAcentral.
UACGAACUUUGCAAGCGUUAUUCGGAAUCACUGGGCUUAAAGGGUGCGUAGGCGGCUUGUUAAGUAGGGUGUGAAAUCCCCCGGCUCAACCGGGGAAUUGCGCCCUAAACUGGCGAGCUGGAGUGAGAUAGGGGUGUGUGGAACUUCCAGUGGAGCGGUGAAAUGUGUUGAUAUUGGAAGGAACGCCAGUGGCGAAAGCGACACACUGGGUCUCAACUGACGCUGAGGCACGAAAGCCAGGGGAGCAAACGGG